CUUAGUGGCGGACGGGUGAGUAACGCGUGAGUAACCUGCCUUUCAGAGGGGGAUAACGUUCUGAAAAGAACGCUAAUACCGCAUAAGACCACAGCACCGCAUGGUGCAGGGGUAAAAACUCCGGUGGUACAGGAUGGACCCGCGUCUGAUUAGCUGGUUGGUGAGGUAACGGCUCACCAAGGCGACGAUCAGUAGCCGGCUUGAGAGAGUGAACGGCCACAUUGGGACUGAGACACGGCCCAAACUCCUACGGGAGGCAGCAUG
This 264-nucleotide ribosomal RNA is filed under the name uncultured bacterium. RNAcentral describes it as "partial 16S ribosomal RNA". It matches the Rfam family "Bacterial small subunit ribosomal RNA", at positions 91 to 353 of the family's 1533-position model. The record is from RNAcentral.